RNAcentral lists this ribosomal RNA (774 nucleotides) under Triticum aestivum (bread wheat). Its description in RNAcentral is "partial small subunit ribosomal RNA". Lineage: Eukaryota; Viridiplantae; Streptophyta; Magnoliopsida; Poales; Poaceae. The record is from RNAcentral.
AUGGACAAUUUCCAACAUAGUGAUCUUCUUGCCCUCGAGACGGCGUUAGGUGAGGAAAGCCGGGAUCCAAUAGCCAUUCCUAUCUCCGUUUUGAAGGCCAUCACAAACAAUUUCUCUGAUGCUCAAGAAAUCGGUUGCGGUGGGUUUGAAACGGUUUACAAGGGUACGCUUGGAAAUGGGAUGGUUGUUGCCGUGAAGAAGCUCCACGAAAAUGUAGGAGUUCUUUCUAAAAAUUUCAAUAGUGAGGUCGAUUGUCUUAUAGAGGUCAAGCACAAAAAUAUAGUGCAGUUCCUGGGGUACUGUUCGGAUACGCAAAAGGUACUAAGGUCGUUUCAAGGAAAAAAUGUCUGGGCAGAAGAACGGCAGAAGUUAUUAUGCUUCGAGUACCUAAGUAAAGGGAGCCUUGCAGACUAUCUCACUGGGCCAUCUUGCGGACUUCGGUGGUGCACACGGUAUCGAAUAAUCAGGGGGAUCUGUGAAGGCUUGCAUUAUCUUCACCACCACCACCAACCUAUUAUUCACUUGGAUCUCAAACCUCAGAAUAUAUUAUUGGACGAUAAUAUGGUGGCUAAAAUAGCGGAUUUUGGUCUAUCAAGGCGCUUAAGUGCAAGGCAAAGUCGAAUUCUAACCAAAAACAUAGCUGGGACACCGGGAUAUUUCGCUCCGGAAUUUAUAAAUAGCGGAGUAAUCACAAUGAAGAUGGACAUAUAUAGUCUAGGGGUAAUAAUCAUAGAGAUUCUGAUGGGAUUUAAGCAACAACCCAAUCUCGACUAG